AUCAGGCAGGUACACACGAUGACGAGCGCGACGCCGAGGAAGAUCGUGCGCGAUUAAAAUCCGCGCCUGCCGCGCUCGCGAUUUAUCGAUCGAGCUCUCCCGCUCGCUCGGGAUGCUGAGGACGUGUGUACCGUAAUAUGCUGCGUCGGCGGCUUCACUCAAGCCGAAGAGCUAGCCGCCAUGCAUCGCUUGGAGUCUAAACUGAUCUGGAAAUUAUUUAGAAGCAUCAACAGAAAAAUGUGAUCCAACCACCACGCCAGUUUUUAAAUAGAUUUCUUGGUGGUGACAAAUCUCUUGUCGGCGCCUCUCACGCGAUUGCUUAAGUAGAGCAAGAAAAUGUCAGUCAGACAAAAAUAGUCAGACAGUAAUGUUGAAUAUACUCAAAGGAAUCUAUGUUAAUCCAGUGUUCUUUGCCAUCGCAUUCUGUUAUAUUAUUACAGAAUGAAAAUAUAGGACAUAAAUUUGCUAAACUAGAAAAAUACAGCUAAUACAGCUAAGAAUUUUUUUUCUAGUUUAGCAAAUCUAUUUGAUAUUUUUCUUUCCGUGAUUAACUAAAUUGUUGCACUACAUAAAUUUAGAAUAUAUGUAAUAAUAUUUUAGAACACACGUAGAAUAUAUGUAAAUAUAAAUAAAUAAAAUAUCUAAAAUUUAAAACUGUUAUAUUUAAGAGAUUCAAAUGUAAAUAUGUUUUAGCAAGAAUUAAAUUGUCUCAUUAACAU
Long non-coding RNA from Ooceraea biroi (clonal raider ant), 719 nucleotides. RefSeq lists it as uncharacterized. NCBI's taxonomy places the organism in Eukaryota, Metazoa, Arthropoda, Insecta, Hymenoptera, Formicidae. The record is from RefSeq and is a predicted model, not a curated record.